GCAGAUAUAGCCAAGCGGUACGGCGCUGGUCUGGAAAACCAGUGUGCGAAAGCACCCGAGGGUUCGAAUCCCUCUGUCUGCG
Molecule: transfer RNA, 82 nt
Filed under: Promethearchaeota archaeon
Lineage: Archaea; Promethearchaeati; Promethearchaeota
Description: Candidatus Lokiarchaeota archaeon (permafrost metagenome) tRNA-Ser
Rfam family: tRNA
About the family: Transfer RNA (tRNA) molecules are approximately 80 nucleotides in length. Their secondary structure includes four short double-helical elements and three loops (D, anti-codon, and T loops).
Source: RNAcentral